UUCCGGGGCUGCACGCUUGUUUGUGGCCGCAGAUCAUCAUUUAUUUUAAUAGGAUGCCUUUUUUUUUGUUAAAUUUUAUUAGAUAGUUUAGACUGCCACCUCGCACACAGCCCCGUCCCGCUUGUCCCGGAGAUCGACGGCGGGCUGUGGGGAAUGGUGGAGGAGAGCUCCCGACCUAAGACAAGGCAGAUGCCAGUACUGGAGGCUGCAGCCCACUGACGUGAGGGACAUUACCUACUCCCCGUGCGAAGCCGUCCCGGAAGUUGGUGGCGAAUGGUCAGCUCCCUCCUCUGGCUGCACCCCGUUUGUUCAGUAUCGCCCCUCUCUCACCCCCUCCCCUCUUCUCUGAGUCUCUUUGCUUCCCCCCGCUGCUAGGAUGCUGAAGGCUGUGGCGUGAAUGAGAUGGCAGCCGGCCGGCUCUUGCUUUACGCCGGCCUCUCCAUGGCCCUCUGCGCCCUGGGUAUGCUGGCUGUGGCCAUCUGCUCCGACCACUGGUACCAGACAGACGCCAGGAGGCACCGGGAGAGGUGCAAGAAUUACGCCAGCCGCACCAACCACCCGGGCUUCAUCUACACCUCCAACAACCUGCCCCUCCGCGCCAGCCGCCGCCGGCUCGACCGCUGGGAGGAGAAGCUGCUCGGCGCCCGCAACCGGCGGCAGCUCUUCGCCAUGAGCGCGGCGGAUGAGUGCAGCAGGAUGUACAACUCUACCAACACCGGCCUGUGGAGGAGGUGCCACCGGCUCGGCUUCGACCAGGAUAUCGCCGAACUCAUCGCCAAAGGUGAAAUAGACAGGUGUACGCCAAUCAAGUAUCACUACUCCUCAGCAAUCCUUCCGAAAAACCUUUCAUACAACAUCACAAAAACCAUCCGGCAAGACGAGUGGCACUCCCUGCAUCUCCGUCGGAUGACAGCUGGAUUCAUGGGAAUGGCAGUUGCUAUCAUCCUUUUUGGCUGGAUUAUCGGGAUCCUGGGCUGCUGUUGGGACCGGGGACUGAUGCAGUACGUGGCUGGCUUACUGUUCCUUAUGGGAGACUCCGGUGCUGAGGGGAAUAUGUUGUAUGAAGACAUAGCUGUCCAGGCCGGAAUUCCUCGGGAGCCGUUGACUACCCCUCUGGAAGCCCGGGCACUGGACGGAGGAUUUCUGGCUCAAGUCACUCACCGUACACCACCACUGUCUUUGAUCCUCUCUGGGAAUCAUCGGGAGCAGGUACAAUUUAACCUAAUCUCCUCUCCUCUCAAGCCCCGAUUGUACUUGGAUACCACUGGUUAAGCCGCCAUAAUCCUUGCAUUGAUUCUUCCACCGCGAAGAUCGUCAGCUGGAGUCCGUUUUGUCACUCCACUUGUCUACAGUCGGCCCUUUCCCCUGUAAGGACCACCACGACCUCGUCUGCCGUUGAGUUGUCCAGGGGUCCAGCGGAGUACCACGACCUGGUACAAAUGUUUAGUGAACAAUGCGCCUUUUCCCUGCCUCCACAACGACUGUGCCAUCGACCUUCUCCCCGGGGCUCCUCUACCCGCCAGUCGGCUGUAUAACCUGUCCUGGCCAGAGAGGGAAGCAGUGGAAGGUUCCAUCAGUGAGUCUCUCGCGGCGGGCAUUAUUCGACCCUCAUCCUCCCCGGUGGGCGCUGGAUUCUUCUUUGAGGGGAAGGAGGAUGGCUCCCUCCGUCCCUGCAUCGAUUACCGAGGCCUAAAUCAUAACCAUUAGAAACAAGUACCCACUGACUCUUGAAGUUCUGCUUUCGAGCCACUUCAUGGAGCCACCAUCUUCUCGGAGCUGGGCCUCCGAUACGCCUACCAUUUGGUCUGGAUAACGGAGGGGGACGAGUGGAAGACGGCCUUCAAUACCCCUUUAGGCCACUUCGAGUACUUGGUCAUGCCUUUCGCCCUCAACAAUCCCCCGCCCCCGCCGUUUUUCAAGCCUUGAUUAACGAUGUGCUAAGAGACUCCAUUAACCGCUUUGUGUUUGUCUACCUGGAUGACAUCCUGAUCUUUUCCAGCAGUCCCCAGCAACACAUGCACCAUGUCCGUCAAGUCCUGCAGAGGCUGGGGGAGAACAAAUUAUUUGUAAAGGCGGAGAAAUGCGAAUUCCACGUCCCCUCGGUCAGCUUCCUAGGGUGAAUCAUCGAGGGGGGUGGGGGGAGACAGGUGAGAGCUGAUCCCGAGAAGAUCUGGGCUGUGGCGGAGUGGCGCAAACCCACGGACCGCAAGCAUCUCCAACUGUUCCUGGGGUUUGCGAACUUCUAUCGCCGGUUCAUCAGAAACUACAGUCAGGUGGCGGCUCCCCUUACCCGACUUACCUCACCUGCCACACCUUCCCUUUGGAACUCCGAGGCGGACUCGGCGUUCUGAUUCAACCAGACCCCUCCUGUCAGUUCAUUGUGGAGGGUGACGCCUCUGACUCCAGGGUGGGAGCGGUACUGUCCCAACGUUCGGGCCCGGAUCAGAAACUACAUCCCUGUGCCGCCUUCUCUCGUCCACUGUCUCCCGCUGAACGAAACUACGACGUGGGGAACCGGGAGCUACUAGCGGUCAAUCUGGCGAUGGAAGAAUGGAGGCACUGGUUGGAGGGGCGGAACACUCACCCAUUGUCUGGACAGACCACAAGAACCUUGAAUAUAUCCAGACCGCCAAACGCCUGAAUUCCCGCCAGGCCCGUUAGGCACUAUUUUUUGGCCAGUUCAGAUUCUCCCUCACCUAUCGUCCGGGGUCCAAGAACUGGAAGCCCGAGGAGGAUCUUUCCAACCCCGAGACCAUUCUUCCACCAUCCUGUGUAGUGGCUGCCCUAACCUGGGAGAUCGAGUCUAGAGUCAAAGAGGAACAAAGGACGCAACCCGCCCCAGACACCGGACCUCCCAAUCUCCUCUUUGUACCCGAUGCUGUUCGAUCACAGGUUCUACAGUGGGGGCACACUUCAAGAUUCCUCUGGUUUCCUGUUCUACGUUCAGGUCCACGCCAGCCUUCCCAACUGAGUGGACGUGCCGGUGUCCUGCACUUGGGCCCUCCUCAGUGCCCCCCCCCCCCGCAACAACUUGUCCACCAGUCCUCUGUACUCUGACUCCUGCCCAUCUCUGAUACACCCAACCACCGCUGAGUUAUCAGAACUUCUGCAAGUGACAAGACUCUGAUCUGUACUGAAAGUCUGAGGUGUACAGUGUGAACAGAGAUGAGACGGUCCCUUGUGGCACUCCAGUGCCAAGCACCACCAUCUCAGACAGAGAACUACCCAGCCGUACAAACUGGGGUCUGUCUGUCAGGUAAUGAUCCAGGAGAUUUGUCUACACCCAUCCUUGGCAGCUCCUCACUCAGACUGAAUUGAAGGCACUAGAAAAAUCAAAGAAUGUGAUUCUCACAAUGCCACCAGCAUCACCCAGGUGGGAAUGAGCUCACUACAACAGGUAGAUGAUGACAUGAUCCCCUCCCACAUGAGGUUGGUAGGCAAACUGCAUAGAGGGUCCAAUGAAGAUCUCACCUGUGGUCCAAGGGACGUUUUGCAUCAUUUCUCUGUGCACGUGCGUCGCUGGAAUUAACUUUGAACUCUCCCGCUACCCCAGAUACCUGUAUGGCCUGCCCGACGACAUCAGCCACGGCUACGGCUGGUCCAUGUUCUGCGCCUGGGGC
This is an RNA transcript of Hypanus sabinus (Atlantic stingray), 3620 nucleotides long. It is a transcript of the gene named transmembrane protein 178Bb, with no coding region annotated. The transcript is spliced from 5 exons. Lineage: Eukaryota; Metazoa; Chordata; Chondrichthyes; Myliobatiformes; Dasyatidae. The record is from RefSeq and is a predicted model, not a curated record.